UGAAACCAGACUAGACGUUGGGUCUG
This 26-nucleotide non-coding RNA is filed under the name Mus musculus (house mouse). Lineage: Eukaryota; Metazoa; Chordata; Mammalia; Rodentia; Muridae. The record is from RNAcentral.